Molecule: long non-coding RNA, 306 nt
Filed under: Elaeis guineensis (African oil palm)
Lineage: Eukaryota; Viridiplantae; Streptophyta; Magnoliopsida; Arecales; Arecaceae
Description: long non-coding RNA (EGUI_LNC060783)
Source: RNAcentral
GCAUGAUUCGAAUGAUCUAAUCAGGGUUGACAGUUUAACCCUGAGUCGUCCUAAACAUAGGGGUCAAAAGGGAUGAAUUAUACAGUAACCAUAUUCACAUAGGUUCUGAGUGUUGCGAUUGUGACUAUUCGACCUAUCUGGAUGUCGGGUACCAUUGUUAGAUGGUCACUUCGAUUAGUACAAGAAUUGGUUCCUGUGCUACCGGCUUAGGUUCGAACCUGCGGGGUCACACACAUUAGAGGUUCCUAUCUGAUCUGAUGGCUGAUGAAGAGUCCUAAUGCUUGUGGACUAUGAGUCCUACAUAUC